This is a non-coding RNA of Danio rerio (zebrafish), 405 nucleotides long. Lineage: Eukaryota; Metazoa; Chordata; Actinopteri; Cypriniformes; Danionidae. The record is from Ensembl.
ACACACUCUGGCUACUGCACAUGCGCAGAUCUCAUAAAUGAAUCCGACUUUAAUCAACUUAAUUAAGAUCUAUCAUCAAAUUAAUCGAAUUUUCGGUCAGAGGCCGGGGUGGAGUGCAUGAGCCGCGGUCAGACAGUCACCAAUCACCGUGCGGCUAAAUGGAUCGACGGAGGAUAAAACCAUUAAAAGAUGCGGAGAAACACAUCACCAGCUCCACCGACAAGACCCAUUCACUGGAAACCGAAUAUAUAGAAGGUUACUAAGUUUUGCAGCAUUGAUGCCGAUCAUGAGGACGAUCUGCACCCUAACUGCACUGUCAAUAAGAUCGUUGUUCAGAGAAAACCUCAUUUGUGCCUUUUUGCAAUCAGGGAUAUUUUCUUUGGAGAGGAAAUAACGUUUGACUAU